UACGUAGGGGGCUAGCGUUGUCCGGAAUCAUUGGGCGUAAAGCGCGCGUAGGCGGCCCGGUAAGUCCGCUCUGAAAGUCCAGGGCUCAACCCUGGAAUGCGGGUGGAUACUGCCGGGCUAGAGUCCGGAAGAGGCGAGUGGAAUUCCUGGUGUAGCAGUGAAAUGCGUAGAGAUCAUGAGGAAGACCAGUGGCGAAGGCGGGUCUCUGGACAGUUCCUGACACUGAGGCACGAAGGCCAGGGGAGCAAACGGG
This 253-nucleotide ribosomal RNA is filed under the name uncultured bacterium. RNAcentral describes it as "partial 16S ribosomal RNA". It matches the Rfam family "Bacterial small subunit ribosomal RNA", at positions 524 to 776 of the family's 1533-position model. The record is from RNAcentral.